CAGUCGAACGGGAAACAUUUUAUUGAAGCCUCGGCAGAUUUAGCUUGUUUCUACUGUUGAACGGGUGAGUAACGCGUGGGUAACCUGCCUUAUACUGCCUUAUAACAGCCAGAAAUGACUGCUAAUACCGCAUAAGCGCACAGAACCGCAUGGUUCGGUGUGAAAAACUCCGGUGGUAUAAGAUGGACCCGCGUUGGAUUAGCUAGUUGGCAGGGCAGCGGCCUACCAAGGCGACGAUCCAUAGCCGGCCUGAGAGGGUGAACGGCCACAUUGGGACUGAGACACGGCCCAGACUCCUACGGGAGGCAGCAGUGGGGAAUAUUGCACAAUGGGGGAAACCCUGAUGCAGCGACGCCGCGUGAAGGAAGAAGUAUCUCGGUAUGUAAACUUCUAUCAGCAGGGAAGAUAAUGACGGUACCUGAUUAAGAAGCCCCGGCUAACUACGUGCCAGCAGCCGCGGUAAUACGUAGGGGGCAAGCGUUAUCCGGAUUUACUGGGUGUAAAGGGAGCGUAGACGGCGCAGCAAGUCUGAUGUGAAAGGCAGGGGCUUAACCCCUGGACUGCAUUGGAAACUGCUGUGCUUGAGUGCCGGAGGGGUAAGCGGAAUUCCUAGUGUAGCGGUGAAAUGCGUAGAUAUUAGGAGGAACACCAGUGGCGAAGGCGGCUUACUGGACGGU
Molecule: ribosomal RNA, 677 nt
Filed under: uncultured bacterium
Lineage: Bacteria
Description: bacterial SSU rRNA
Rfam family: Bacterial small subunit ribosomal RNA
Source: RNAcentral